This 75-nucleotide transfer RNA is filed under the name Nitrospira sp. RNAcentral describes it as "tRNA-Val". It matches the Rfam family "tRNA". From Rfam's summary of the family: Transfer RNA (tRNA) molecules are approximately 80 nucleotides in length. Their secondary structure includes four short double-helical elements and three loops (D, anti-codon, and T loops). The record is from RNAcentral. Lineage: Bacteria; Pseudomonadati; Nitrospirota; Nitrospiria; Nitrospirales; Nitrospiraceae. RNAcentral also lists the same sequence under 4 other names.
AGGCGAUUAGCUCAGGGGUAGAGCGCUUCCUUCACACGGAAGAGGCCACUGGUUCAAAGCCAGUAUCGCCUACCA